CUGCCUGGAUCCUGUGACCUAUGGGCUUCCCUUUGUCAUCCUAUGCCUGGAGAUCACAGUGAGGCAGGGACAGCAAAGGGGUGCUCAGCUGUCGUCUCUAAC
Molecule: microRNA precursor, 102 nt
Filed under: Podarcis lilfordi (Lilford's wall lizard)
Lineage: Eukaryota; Metazoa; Chordata; Lepidosauria; Squamata; Lacertidae
Rfam family: mir-204 microRNA precursor family (bases 12-99)
Source: RNAcentral